RNAcentral lists this ribosomal RNA (1138 nucleotides) under Cyrtarachne bufo. RNAcentral describes it as "SSU rRNA". It matches the Rfam family "Eukaryotic small subunit ribosomal RNA", at positions 622 to 1803 of the family's 1831-position model. Lineage: Eukaryota; Metazoa; Arthropoda; Arachnida; Araneae; Araneidae. The record is from RNAcentral.
AAAAGCUCGUAGUUGGAUCUCAGCUCCGGCCGGACGGUCCGCCUACCGGUGGUUACUGUUCGCUGCCGAGCGUUCCGGUGGUUAUCUUCGAUGAUCUUUACCGGUUGUCUUGGGUGACCGCCAAGUUUACUUUGAAAAAAUUAGAGUGCUCAAAGCAGGCGCGACGCCUGAAUAAUUGUGCAUGGAAUAAUGGAAUAGGACCUCGGUUCUAUUUUGUUGGUUUUCGGAACACGAGGUAAUGAUUAAGAGGGACAGACGGGGGCAUUCGUAUUGCGACGCUAGAGGUGAAAUUCUUGGACCGUCGCAAGAGCCAAGAAUGUUUCCAUUAAUCAAGAACGAAAGUUAGAGGUUCGAAGACGAUCAGAUACCGUCCUAGUUCUAACCAUAAACGAUGCCAGCCAGCGAUCCGGCUGUGUUCCUCAAAUGACACGCCGGGCAGCUUCCGGGAAACCAAAGCUUAUGGGUUCCGGGGGAAGUAUGGUUGCAAAGCUGAAACUUAAAGGAAUAGACGGAAGGGCACCACCAGGAUUGGAGCCUGCGGCUUAAUUUGACUCAACACGGGGAAACUUACCCGGCCCGGACACAGGAAGGAUUGACAGAUUAAGAGCUCUUUCUUGAUUCUGUGGGUGGUGGUGCAUGGUCGUUCUUAGUUGGUGGGGCGACUUGUCUGGUUAAUUCCGAUAACGAACGAGACUCUAGCCUACUAAAUAGACGUUCCCAUCCUCUUGCGUGGGACGUUCUUCUUAGAGGGACAAGCGGCUUCUAGCCGCACGAGACAGAGCAAUAACAGGUCUUAGAUGCCCUUAGAUGUCCGGGGCCGCACGCGCGCUACAUUGAAGGAUUCAGCGUGUGCUUUCCCUGUCCGAAAGGACUGGGUAACCCGUUGAACCUCCUUCGUGCUGGGGAUUGGCGAAUGUAAUUGACGCCAUGAACGAGGAAUUCCCAGUAAGCAUGAGUCAUCAGCUCGUGCUGAUUACGUCCCUGCCCUUUGUACUCACCGCCCGUCGCUACUACUGAUUGAGUGAUUUAGUGAGGUCUUCGGACUGGCGCUCGGAUUGGCCUUCGCGGUCGAGCCGAUGUGCCGGAAAGAUGACCAAACUUGAUUACUUAGAAGAAGUAAAAGUCGUAACAAGGUUUU